Non-coding RNA from Kalmusia sp. IMI 367209, 89 nucleotides. NCBI's taxonomy places the organism in Eukaryota, Fungi, Ascomycota, Dothideomycetes, Pleosporales, Didymosphaeriaceae. The record is from the annotation of a GenBank genome assembly.
GGACCAUUGGCGCAACGGUAGCGCGUCAGAUUCCAGCAUUUGGGCAUGGGAAAUCCUGAAGGUUAGCCGUUCGAAUCGGCUAUGGUUCA